This 105-nucleotide microRNA precursor is filed under the name Canis lupus dingo (dingo). RNAcentral describes it as "mir-8834 microRNA precursor family". It matches the Rfam family "mir-8834 microRNA precursor family". Lineage: Eukaryota; Metazoa; Chordata; Mammalia; Carnivora; Canidae. The record is from Rfam by way of RNAcentral.
AGGAGGAACAACCGCAGUGGCAGGGCCAGCUCUGCAGCCCUGGAGUCAGCCCCCGCAGUAGCUCCAGAGCUCUCCAUCUGCAGGGCCUGGAGGCUCCGGGCGGGG